This is a non-coding RNA of Pocillopora verrucosa, 197 nucleotides long. The record is from RefSeq and is a predicted model, not a curated record. Lineage: Eukaryota; Metazoa; Cnidaria; Anthozoa; Scleractinia; Pocilloporidae.
AGAAAUCCAUUUCUUGAUCGAAGAUGCAACAGUAAACACUGAGUAACGAAGAAAAGAUCAUUGCGAAGCUGUUGGUCGAAUCGAUUUCAAGCGUUGAGUGACAGAUUGUGUCUACAUCAGGAGUAAAAUCACAAAGCUAAAGCUGAGCAUAUUUAAUCACAUGAUGAUUUGAGACCAAUCAAGUGUGAACAAAUAUA